RNAcentral lists this ribosomal RNA (253 nucleotides) under uncultured microorganism. RNAcentral describes it as "partial 16S ribosomal RNA". It matches the Rfam family "Bacterial small subunit ribosomal RNA", at positions 524 to 776 of the family's 1533-position model. The record is from RNAcentral.
UACGGAGGGUGCGAGCGUUAUUCGGAAUUACUGGGCGUAAAGCGCGCGUAGGCGGCAGGGCAAGUCUGGUGUGAAAGCCCGGGGCUCAACCCCGGAAGUGCAUUGGAAACUGCUCAGCUUGAGUACCGGAGAGGAAGGGGGAAUUCCCGGUGUAGCGGUGAAAUGCGUAGAUAUCGGGAGGAAUACCAGUGGCGAAGGCGGCCUUCUGGACGGUUACUGACGCUGAGACGCGAAAGCGUGGGGAGCAAACAGG